GCAAUAGCGCCACCAAUAAUGGCGGCGGGGGCAAGAAAAUCAAGGAAACCGAGUUACGUUUCACAUUUUGUGUUGAGAAUAAUACUGCUAUAGAGAAUAUAGAUGUUGGAAAUUGAAAAAUUGAGAGGACCAGUGAAUUAUGUUUGAAACAAAAGCAUCGAAAAUAUUGACUUGUUGGUAGGGCAAUUACGGCUGCUGUGGGCUUGUCUCUGUUUGUUCUGUCGAAAAAAUCAGUUGACCAGAAACGUCGUGAGGAGAUGAUAAACAGGAAAAUUGCAAGAGAAAAUUCAC
Molecule: long non-coding RNA, 291 nt
Organism: Fopius arisanus
Lineage: Eukaryota; Metazoa; Arthropoda; Insecta; Hymenoptera; Braconidae
Exons: 2
Source: RefSeq, a predicted model, not a curated record